Molecule: ribosomal RNA, 467 nt
Filed under: uncultured bacterium
Lineage: Bacteria
Description: partial 16S ribosomal RNA
Rfam family: Bacterial small subunit ribosomal RNA
Source: RNAcentral
GACGAACGCUGGCGGCGUGCUUAACACAUGCAAGUCGAACGAUGACGCCCGAGCUUGCUCGGUCUGAUUAGUGGCGAACGGGUGAGUAACACGUGAGCAACCUGCCCUUCACUCUGGGAUAACCUCGGGAAAUCGGGGCUAAUACCGGGUAUGAGCUCCUGUCGCAUGGCGGGUGUUGGAAAGUUUUUCGGUGAAGGAUGGGCUCGCGGCCUAUCAGUUUGUUGGUGAGGUAGUGGCUCACCAAGGCGAUGACGGGUAGCCGGCCUGAGAGGGCGACCGGCCACACUGGGACUGAGACACGGCCCAGACUCCUACGGGAGGCAGCAGUGGGGAAUAUUGCACAAUGGGCGAAAGCCUGAUGCAGCGACGCCGCGUGAGGGAUGACGGCCUUCGGGUUGUAAACCUCUUUCAGCAGGGAAGAAGCGAAAGUGACGGUACCUGCAGAAGAAGCGCCGGCUAACUACGUG